RNAcentral lists this microRNA precursor (196 nucleotides) under Oryza rufipogon (brownbeard rice). RNAcentral describes it as "MIR812 microRNA precursor family". It matches the Rfam family "MIR812 microRNA precursor family". The record is from Rfam by way of RNAcentral. Lineage: Eukaryota; Viridiplantae; Streptophyta; Magnoliopsida; Poales; Poaceae.
AAAAAGGCAAACCCUGGGUUUCCGUGUCCAACUUUGACUGUCCGUCUUAUAUGAAAUUUUUUUAUAAUUUGUAUUUUCAUUGUUGUUAGAUGAUAAAACAUGAUUAAUAUUUUAUACGUGACUUGUCUUUUUAAUUUUUUUCAUAAUUUUUUUAAAUAAGACGGAUGGUUAAACGUUGGGCACGAAAACCAGGGUU